RNAcentral lists this transfer RNA (66 nucleotides) under Lepidotrigona flavibasis. RNAcentral's name for it is "tRNA-Thr". Lineage: Eukaryota; Metazoa; Arthropoda; Insecta; Hymenoptera; Apidae. The record is from RNAcentral.
AGUUGUAUAGUUUAAUAUAAAACAUUAAUUUUGUAAAUUAAUAAUUAAAUAACUUUUAUGCAAUUA